AGUGAACGCUGGCGGCGUGCUUAACACAUGCAAGUCGAACGGAUGAAAUAAGCUUGCUUAUUUCGUUAGUGGCGCACGGGUGAGUAAUGUAUAGCUAACCUGCCCUUUAGUGGGGGACAACAGUUGGAAACGGCUGCUAAUACCCCAUACUCCUUCUUAUCAUAAGAUAAGUUGAGAAAGAUUUCUUGCUAAAGGAUGGGGCUUUAUUGUAUCAGCUAGUCGGUGGGGUAACGGCCUACCAAGGCGAUGACGCAUACCUGGUCUGAGAGGAUGAUCAGGCACACUGGAACUGAGACACGGUCCAGACUCCUACGGGAGGCAGCAGUGGGGAAUAUUGCACAAUGGGUGAAACCCUGAUGCAGCAACGCCGCGUGGAGGAUGACGCAUUUCGGUGUGUAAACUCCUUUUAUAAGGGAAGAUAAUGACGGUACCUUAUGAAUAAGCACCGGCUAACUCCGUGCCAGCCGCCGCGGUAA
RNAcentral lists this ribosomal RNA (476 nucleotides) under uncultured bacterium. RNAcentral describes it as "partial 16S ribosomal RNA". It matches the Rfam family "Bacterial small subunit ribosomal RNA", at positions 29 to 523 of the family's 1533-position model. The record is from RNAcentral.